AGAGUUUGAUCCUGGCUCAGAACGAACGCUGGCGGCGUGGAUAAGACAUGCAAGUCGAACGGGAUUUUCCGGGUAGCAAUACUUGGGAAGUCCAGUGGCAAACGGGUGCGUAACACGUGAGCAAUCUGCCGGGAAGUGGGGGAUAGCUCGCCGAAAGGCGAAUUAAUACCGCAUGUGGCCAGGGGGGACAUCCUCCCGAAGCCAAAGUCGCAAGACGCUUCCUGAUGAGCUCGCGGCCUAUCAGCUUGUUGGCGGGGUAACGGCCCACCAAGGCUAUGACGGGUAGCUGGUCUGAGAGGACGACCAGCCACACUGGAACUGAGACACGGUCCAGACACCUACGGGUGGCAGCAGUCGAGAAUUUUUCACAAUGGGGGAAACCCUGAUGGAGCGACGCCGCGUGGAGGAUGAAGGUCUUCGGAUUGUAAACUCCUGUCAUGCGAGAACAAGAAAGUGAUAGUAUCGCAAGAGGAAGAGACGGCUAACUCUGUGCCAGCAGCCGCGGUAAUACAGAGGUCUCAAGCGUUGUUCGGAUUCAUUGGGCGUAAAGGGUGCGUAGGCGGCGUGGUAAGUUGAGUGUGAAAUCCUGGGGCUUAACCUCAGAACUGCACUCAAUACUGCCAUGCUCGAGGAAUGUAGAGGAGAGUGGAAUUCACGGUGUAGCAGUGAAAUGCGUAGAUAUCGUGAGGAAGACCAGUUGCGAAGGCGACUCUCUGGGCAUUUCCUGACGCUGAGGCACGAAGGCCAGGGGAGCAAACGGGAUUAGAUACCCCGGUAGUCCUGGCAGUAAACGGUGCACGUUUGGUGUGGGCGGGUUCAGACCCCGUCCGUGCCGGAGCUAACGCGUCAAACGUGCCGCCUGGGAAGUACGGUCGCAAGAUUAAAACUCAAAGGAAUUGACGGG
This 904-nucleotide ribosomal RNA is filed under the name uncultured bacterium. RNAcentral describes it as "bacterial SSU rRNA". It matches the Rfam family "Bacterial small subunit ribosomal RNA", at positions 8 to 917 of the family's 1533-position model. The record is from RNAcentral.